Molecule: ribosomal RNA, 929 nt
Filed under: uncultured Mycoplasmatota bacterium
Lineage: Bacteria; Bacillati; Mycoplasmatota
Description: bacterial SSU rRNA
Rfam family: Bacterial small subunit ribosomal RNA
Source: RNAcentral
UGGAUCCAGACUUUGAUUCUGGCUCAGGAUGAACGCUGGCGGCAUGCCUAAGACAUGCAAGUCGUACGAAGCGGCCCAUAGAAGUUGGAGUGCUUGCACAAAGAUGGAAAUGGAUUACCGCUUAGUGGCAAACGGGUGAGUAACACGUGGGUUACCUACCUCCAAGAUGGGGAUAACAGUUGGAAACGACUGAUAAUACCGAAUGUGCUCUACGGAGUAAAGAAGCCCUUAAAGCUUCGCUUGGAGAUGGGCCUGCGGCGCAUUAGCUAGUUGGUGGGGUAAUGGCCUACCAAGGCAACGAUGCGUAGCCGAACUGAGAGGUUGAUCGGCCACAUUGGGACUGAGACACGGCCCAGACUCCUACGGGAGACAGCAGUUAGGAAUAUUCGUCAAUGGGGGAAACCCUGAACGAGCAAUGCCGCGUGAGUGAUGACGGUCCUCUGGAUUGUAAAACUCUGUUGUUUAGGAAAAAAUGUACAAGCAGGAAAUGGUUUGUGCUUGAUGGUACUAUUCAAGAAAGCCACGGCUAACUACGUGCCAGCAGCCGCGGUAAUACGUAGGUGGCGAGCGUUAUCCGGAUUUAUUGGGCGUAAAGCGUCCGCAGACGGUUUGUUAAGUCUAGAAUCAAAGCCCGGAGCUUAACUUCGGUUCGUUUUAGAAACUGGCAGACUUGAGUGUAGUAGAGGCAAGUGGAAUUUCUAGUGUAGCGGUAGAAUGCGUAGAUAUUAGAAGGAACACCAGUGGCGAAGGCGACUUGCUGGGCUAUUACUGACGUUCAUGGACGAAAGCGUGGGGAGCAAAUAGGAUUAGAUACCCUAGUAGUCCACGCUGUAAACGAUGAGUACUAAGUGUCGGGCAACCGGUGCUGAAGUUAACACAUUAAGUACUCCGCCUGAGUAGUACGGUCGCAAGGCUGCAACUCAAAGGAA